GGGCCUGUGGUCUAACGGGAUGACGCGGGUAUGGCAUACCUGCAGUCCGGGUUCGAUUCCCGGCUGGUCCA
This 71-nucleotide transfer RNA is filed under the name Planctomycetaceae bacterium. Its description in RNAcentral is "tRNA-Ala". It matches the Rfam family "tRNA". Rfam says of the family: Transfer RNA (tRNA) molecules are approximately 80 nucleotides in length. Their secondary structure includes four short double-helical elements and three loops (D, anti-codon, and T loops). Further hydrogen bonds mediate the characteristic L-shaped molecular structure. tRNAs have two regions of fundamental functional importance: the anti-codon, which is responsible for specific mRNA codon recognition, and the 3' end, to which the tRNAs corresponding amino acid is attached (by aminoacyl-tRNA synthetases). tRNAs cope with the degeneracy of the genetic code in two manners: having more than one tRNA (with a specific anti-codon) for a particular amino acid; and 'wobble' base-pairing, i.e. permitting non-standard base-pairing at the 3rd anti-codon position. The record is from RNAcentral. RNAcentral also lists the same sequence under 1 other name. Lineage: Bacteria; Pseudomonadati; Planctomycetota; Planctomycetia; Planctomycetales; Planctomycetaceae.